Long non-coding RNA from Salmo salar (Atlantic salmon), 1070 nucleotides. RefSeq lists it as uncharacterized. The record is from RefSeq and is a predicted model, not a curated record. NCBI's taxonomy places the organism in Eukaryota, Metazoa, Chordata, Actinopteri, Salmoniformes, Salmonidae.
GGCUGAAUGGACACUGCCUCCGUACAGGUAGACAUGGAGGAGCUCCGUGGCAUGUGGCUGAACGGACACUGCCUGUGUACAGGUAGACAUGGAGGAGCUCCGUGGCACGUGGCUGAAUGGACACUGCCUCUGUACAGGUAGACAUAGAGGAGCUCCGUGGCACGUGGCUGAAUGGACAGCGUCUAUGUCUAGUAGCUAGAAUUAUUCAGUUUGUGGCCAGUUAGACAUUUUUGGGGCAUGGUUGAGUAAGUAGCCUACAAUGCUUAUAUGCAAAUCAUAACCGGCACGCAGAUCUUUAGAGAUGGUAGGAUCAUUUGUAAAUUGGCACUCACAUGGAAAAGGUUGCCCACCGCCUGCUAUUGGCUAUAUGAAGCCACCCUCGUGGAACGGCGCAUACAGUGUACUAUGACAGUGUCGUCUCAUGUGAUUCCCACCAAAAUUGUUGCCUUGCAUUCAGAGCAGUGUUGCCAACUCCUCAGUAAGGAAAGUAGCUAUUGGCUGUCCUAAAAGUCGCUAGAAUUCGCCAAAUGACAUCAUCACCAAAUUUUCAUAAUUGUCCAUGUGCAUGUAAUUGUGAUGGAUGCUGUCGGAGAGAGGAAUAACUUCGUGGGAGGCAAAAAAUUUCCUCAAACUUCAGUGUUUCCUUUCAAAUGGUACAAAGAAUAUGCAUAUCCUUGCUUCAUGUCCUGAGCUCCAGGCAGUUAGAUUUGGACGGCAUCCCGUUCACCGCCCGCAAUCACAGGGCUCUCGAGAGGGUGGUGCGGUCUGCCCAACGCAUCCCCGGGGCACACUGCCCUUCAGGACCCCUACAGCACCCGAUGUCACAGGAAGGCCAAAAAGAUCAUUAAGGACAUCAACCACCCGAGCCACAGGCUGUUCACCCCGCUAUCAUCCAGAAGGCGAGGUCAGUACAGGUGCAUCAAAGCUGGGACCGAGAGACUGAAAAACAGCUUCUAUCUCAAGGCCCUCAGACUGUUAAACAGCCAUCACUAGCUUAGAGGCUGCUGCCCUAUAUACUGUAUAUACACAUGGAAUCACUGGCCACUUUAAUAAUGGAACACUAGUCACUU